RNAcentral lists this ribosomal RNA (505 nucleotides) under uncultured bacterium. RNAcentral describes it as "partial 16S ribosomal RNA". It matches the Rfam family "Bacterial small subunit ribosomal RNA", at positions 28 to 507 of the family's 1533-position model. The record is from RNAcentral.
GACGAACGCUGGCGGCGUGCCUAAUACAUGCAAGUAGAACGCACAGUUUAUACCGUAGCUUGCUACACCAUAGACUGUGAGUUGCGAACGGGUGAGUAACGCGUAGGUAACCUGCCUGGUAGCGGGGGAUAACUAUUGGAAACGAUAGCUAAUACCGCAUAAUAUUAAUUAUUGCAUGAUAAUUAAUUGAAAGGUGCAAUUGCACCACUACCAGAUGGACCUGCGUUGUAUUAGCUAGAAGGUGAGGUAACGGCUCACCUAGGCGACGAUACAUAGCCGACCUGAGAGGGUGAUCGGCCACACUGGGACUGAGACACGGCCCAGACUCCUACGGGAGGCAGCAGUAGGGAAUCUUCGGCAAUGGACGAAAGUCUGACCGAGCAACGCCGCGUGAGUGAAGAAGGUUUUCGGAUCGUAAAGCUCUGUUGUAAGAGAAGAACGGGUGUGAGAGUGGAAAGUUCACACUGUGACGGUAUCUUACCAGAAAGGGACGGCUAACUACGUG